UUUGGUUAAGUUAUUAAGGGCAUACGGUGGAUGCCUUGGUACGAGAAGUCGAUGAAGGACGCGAUUACCUGCGAUAAGCCUCGGAUAGGUGGAAAUAACCUAAUACCCGGGGAUUUCCUAAUGGGGCAACCCGUCAUGAGUAAUGUCAUGACAUCUUCACCUGAAUACAUAGGGUGUAUGAAGACAACCCGGGGAACUGAAACAUCUCAGUACCCGGAGGAAGAGAAAACAAUAGUGAUUUCCUUAGUAGCGGCGAGCGAAAAGGAAACAGUCUAAACCUUCUAACAUGUUAAAGGAAGCAACCGUUGUGUUAGAGGUGUUGUGGGAUAUAUUCUGGCUGAAUUGCUAAUAAGUCGGAGAGUAAAAAAUUAUACUAUUAACUAAAUGUUCUGGAAAGUUCAACCAUAGAAGGUGAUAGUCCUGUAAGUGAAAAUAGUAUAACUCUCUGGGAUGUAUUCCCAAGUAUCACGGAGUAAGUGGAAGUCUGUGAAAAUCCGGGAGAACCAUCUCCUAAGACUAAAUACUCUCUCGUAACCGAUAGUGAAUCAGUACCGUGAGGGAAAGGUGAAAAGAACUCCUAGUAGGAGAGUGAAAUAGUACCUGAAACCGUAUGCUUACAAACGGUUGGAGUCCCGAUUUAUCGGGAUGACAGCGUGCCUUCUGGAUAAUGAGCCAACGAGUUACUCGUGUGUGGCAAGGUUAAAGGCUUUAGGCCAGUAGCCAUAGCGAAAGCGAGUCCUAAAUGGGCGUUUUAGUUACAUGCGGUAGACGCGAAACCGAGUGAUCUACCCUUGUCCAGGAUGAAGUGAGGGUAAAACCUCAUGGAGGUCCGAACUAGUGUGGGUUGAAAACCGCUUGGAUGAGGUAAGGGUAGGAGCGAAAGACCAAUCAAACUCGGAAAUAGCUCGUAUUCCUCGAAAUAGCUUUAGGGCUAGCCUCGAGUAUAUAGUGUAACGGAGGUAGAGCACUGAUUGGGCUAGGGCUGUCACAACGGUACCAAACCCAGACAAACUCCGAAUUCCGUUUACAUGUUUCUCGGGAGUCAGGCAGUGGGGGAUAAGCUUCAUUGCCAAAAGGGAAACAACCCAGACCAACAACUAAGGUCCCUAAAUAGUAGUUAACAGAGAAAGGAUGUUCAAUUGCUCAGACAACUAGGAUGUUGGCUUAGAAGCAGCCAUUCAUUUAAAGAGUGCGUAAUAGCUCACUAGUCAAGCGAUCGAGCGUCGACAAUUUCCGGGACUUAAACUACUUACCGACGUUAUGGUCCCGCCUAUGGCGGGAGGUAGAGGAACAUUCUAUAUGCAUUGAAGGUGUGUUGCGAGACAUGCUGGAGUUUAUAGAAAAGCAAAUGUUGGCAUAAGUAACGAUAAGAUCGAUGAAAAAUCGAUCCACCGAAAAUCUAAGGUUUCCUGAGCAAUGUUAGUCAUCUCAGGGUUAGUCGAUUCCUAAGCCGAGGCUGAAAGGCGUAGGCGAUGGAAAACAGGUUAAUAUUCCUGUACCUGGUAAAUUUCGUUUGAACAUAAGGAGUGACGCAGGAGUGAAGGUUAGCCACCUGUUGGAUUAGGUGGUCUAAGCGUGUAGGUUUGAGAUGCAGGCAAAUCCGCAUCUCUUUAAGACCGAGACGUGAACGGGAUGGCUUUGCCAAUAAACUAACCGUAAUCAUACUGCCGAGAAAAACUUCGUAUGUAAGAAAUUUAUCAGAUCGUACCGUAAACCGACACAGGUAGAUGGGAAGAGUAUUCUUAGGUGCUCGAGUGAGCCGUGGUUAAGGAACUCGGCAAAUUAACCCCGUAACUUCGGGAAAAGGGGUGCCCCUAGUAAGUGAAAUCCUUGCGGAUGUAGCUGAAUGGGGCCGCAGUGAAAAGGCCCAAGCGACUGUUUAACAAAAACACAUGUCUCUGCGAAGUCAAUCAAGACGAUGUAUAGGGACUGACACCUGCCCGGUGCUGGAAGGUUAAGAGGAGAUGUCAUCGCAAGAGAAGCAUUGAAUCGAAGCCCCAGUAAACGGCGGCCGUAACUAUAACGGUCCUAAGGUAGCGAAAUUCCUUGUCG
This 2052-nucleotide ribosomal RNA is filed under the name Ignavibacteria bacterium RIFOXYD12_FULL_36_8. Its description in RNAcentral is "bacterial LSU rRNA". It matches the Rfam family "Bacterial large subunit ribosomal RNA", at positions 1 to 1974 of the family's 2925-position model. The record is from RNAcentral. Lineage: Bacteria; Pseudomonadati; Ignavibacteriota; Ignavibacteria.